UCCUACGGGAGGCAGCAGUGGGGAAUAUUGGGCAAUGGGGGAAACCCUGACCCAGCAACGCCGCGUGAAGGAAGAAGGCCUUCGGGUUGUAAACUUCUUUUAGUAGGGACGAAGAACGUGACGGUACCUACAGAAAAAGCAACGGCUAACUACGUGCCAGCAGCCGCGGUAAUACGUAGGUUGCAAGCGUUGUCCGGAUUUACU
Molecule: ribosomal RNA, 204 nt
Filed under: uncultured bacterium
Lineage: Bacteria
Description: partial 16S ribosomal RNA
Rfam family: Bacterial small subunit ribosomal RNA
Source: RNAcentral